ACAGUGGGGAAUAUUGGCAAUGGGGGCAACCCUGACCCAGCAACGCCGUUGAGGAAGAAGGUUUCGGAUCGUAAACCUCUGUCAGGAGGGAAGAACGGGCUGWAGUCGAACAGGCUUUAGUUUUGACGGUACCUCCAGAGGAAGCACCGGCUAACUCCGUGCCAGCAGCYGCGGUAAUACGGAGGGUGCGAGCGUUAUUCGGAAUUACUGGGCGUAAAGCGCGCGUAGGCGGUACGUCAAGUCAGAUGUGAAAGCCCUGGGCUCAACCUGGGAAUUGCAUUUGAAACUGCCGUGCUGGAGURAGGUAGAGGGUGGCGGAAUUCCCGGUGUAGGGGUGAAAUCCGUAGAUAUCGGGAGGAACACCAGUGGCGAAGGCGGCCACCUGGGCCUUUACUGACGCUGAGGUGCGAAAGCGUGGGUAGCAAACAGGAUUAGAUACCCUGGUAGUCCACGCUGUAAACGAUGGAUACUAGGUGCUGGGUUUUAAAUUCGGUGCCGCAGCUAACGCGUAAGUAUCCGCCUGG
RNAcentral lists this ribosomal RNA (524 nucleotides) under uncultured Desulfonatronospira sp. RNAcentral's name for it is "bacterial SSU rRNA". It matches the Rfam family "Bacterial small subunit ribosomal RNA", at positions 351 to 876 of the family's 1533-position model. Lineage: Bacteria; Pseudomonadati; Thermodesulfobacteriota; Desulfovibrionia; Desulfovibrionales; Desulfonatronovibrionaceae. The record is from RNAcentral.